This 253-nucleotide ribosomal RNA is filed under the name uncultured bacterium. RNAcentral describes it as "partial 16S ribosomal RNA". It matches the Rfam family "Bacterial small subunit ribosomal RNA", at positions 524 to 776 of the family's 1533-position model. The record is from RNAcentral.
UACGUAGGGACCAAGCGUUGUUCGGAUUUACUGGGCGUAAAGGGCGCGUAGGCGGCAAUUCAAGUCAUCUGUGAAAUCUCCGGGCUUAACUCGGAACGGUCAGAUGAUACUGCUUUGCUAGAGUGCGGAAGGGGCAACUGGAAUUCUCGGUGUAGCGGUGAAAUGCGUAGAUAUCGAGAGGAACACCUGCGGCGAAGGCGGGUUGCUGGGCUGACACUGACGCUGAACUGCGAAAGCUAGGGGAGCGAACGGG